ACUUAGCGGCGGACGGGUGAGUAACGCGUGGGCAACCUGCCUUACACAGGGGGAUAACAAUUAGAAAUGAUUGCUAAUACCGCAUAAGACCCCAGUACCGCAUGGUACAGAGGUAAAAACUGAGGUGGUGUAAGAUGGGCCCGCGUCUGAUUAGGUAGUUGGUGGGGUAGAAGCCUACCAAGCCGACGAUCAGUAGCCGACCUGAGAGGGCGACCGUCCACAUUGGGACUGAGACACGGCCCAAACUCCUACGGAAGGCAGCAG
Molecule: ribosomal RNA, 264 nt
Filed under: uncultured bacterium
Lineage: Bacteria
Description: partial 16S ribosomal RNA
Rfam family: Bacterial small subunit ribosomal RNA
Source: RNAcentral